RNAcentral lists this ribosomal RNA (447 nucleotides) under uncultured bacterium. RNAcentral describes it as "partial 16S ribosomal RNA". It matches the Rfam family "Bacterial small subunit ribosomal RNA", at positions 29 to 523 of the family's 1533-position model. The record is from RNAcentral.
AACGAACGCUGGCGGCAGGCUUAACACAUGCAAGUCGAACGCCCCGCAAGGGGAGUGGCAGACGGGUGAGUAACGCGUGGGAAUCUACCCAGAUCUUCGGAACAACACAGGGAAACUUGUGCUAAUACCGGAUACGCCCUACGGGGGAAAGAGUUAUCGGAUUUGGAUGAGCCCGCGUUGGAUUAGCUAGUUGGUGAGGUAAUGGCUCACCAAGGCUACGAUCCAUAGCUGGUCUGAGAGGAUGUUCAGCCACACUGGGACUGAGACACGGCCCAGACUCCUACGGGAGGCAGCAGUGGGGAAUAUUGGACAAUGGGCGAAAGCCUGAUCCAGCCAUGCCGCGUGAGUGAUGAAGGCCUUAGGGUUGUAAAGCUCUUUUAGUGGGGAAGAUAAUGACGGUACCCACAGAAAAAGCCCCGGCUAACUUCGUGCCAGCAGCCGCCGCCG